RNAcentral lists this long non-coding RNA (366 nucleotides) under Rattus norvegicus (Norway rat). RNAcentral describes it as "long non-coding RNA NONRATT024162". The record is from RNAcentral. Lineage: Eukaryota; Metazoa; Chordata; Mammalia; Rodentia; Muridae.
CUGCGUUGAAGUUUAAUGGAGCCUUGAGCAUGGCAGUUGGAACAUCCACAGGGCAGGAUCUUGACAUACAACCAUAGCUGGCCUGAAACUUUGGGUAGAAGCAGCUGGCCUUGAACUCACAGAGAUCUGCCUGUCCCCGCCUCCCAAAGGUAUUGUUAUAUGAUCUUCGCUCAGAUAAGCCAUUGCUAGUUAAGGAUCACCAGUAUGGACUGCCCAUUAAGUCAGUUCAUUUCCAGGACUCACUAGAUUUGGUUUUGUCUGCAGACUCCAGAAUUGUCAAAAUGUGGAACAAGGACUCCGGGAAGAUAUUUACUUCGUUGGAGCCGGAACAUGACCUUAAUGAUGUUUGCCUCUAUCCCAGCUCAG